Molecule: long non-coding RNA, 546 nt
Filed under: Anas platyrhynchos platyrhynchos (common mallard)
Lineage: Eukaryota; Metazoa; Chordata; Aves; Anseriformes; Anatidae
Description: lncRNA (ENSAPLG00000028950.1)
Source: RNAcentral
AACCUUUUGCCCUUAGUGCUAUCAGUUUCUCUGAAGGAUAGUAUCUCUGAAGUCCUCGUCUAGGCUUAGCUGUAGAAAAAUGAAACGGCAGUGUGGUGCAUAUUUAAACAUGACAUAGCAGGCGAGGAAAGAAAGUGAUCUGUCUUUUGAUUGAAGAUGAAAUAGCUCCUAAACAAACAAGUGGAAAAUUGGGUCAGCUAUCUCCAAAUACAAAAUAUUUUGAAAAAUUGAGACAAAAGCAUUAGGCUCAUGUUUGAAUAUGGCUACUCAAAGUAAUCAUCUUUAAACUGUCACUAGGGGGACUUUGAAGAUACCUGACUUUUCAGACGGCUUAUCUGUGUGUUUCCCUGAAGUCUGCCUUGCAGGACUGAGGACAAGGGUUUUGCACAUUCCUCUCAGUGUGAUGUGACAAAGGAAGCCACUAGGGUUGUGGAAGAGGGGGAACAGGCAAAGCCAUGCCAUUUUCUCUUCAUUCCAGUGGAUAAGGUAGCCCCCAGAGGUGAGGACAGUCUGUGAGUAUCUGCUUCUUUCUGCAACUGUGCACUG